UCCGGUUGAUCCUGCCGGACCCCACUGCUAUCGGGGUGGGACUAAGCCAUGCGAGUCUGCGCCCUCCAGCCGACGGGGAGGGUGCGGCGGACGGCUCAGUAACACGUAGCUAACCUACCCUCAGGACGGGAAUAACCCCGGGAAACUGGGGCUAAUUCCCGAUAGGUGAGGAAUCCUGGAAUGGUUCCUCAUUGAAAGGGCGCUGGAACCGUGCUUUCAGCGCUGCCUGAGGAUGGGGCUGCGGCCGAUCAGGUAGUUGGUGGGGUAACGGCCCACCAAGCCUAUAACCGGUACGGGCCGUGAGAGCGGGAGCCCGGAGAUGUGCACUGAGACAAGGGCACAGGCCCUACGGGGCGCAGCAGGCGCGAAAACUCCGCAAUGCGCGCAAGCGUGACGGGGCUACCCCGAGUGCCGCCCGCUGAGGGUGGCUUUUCCCCAGUGUAAGGAGCUGGGGGAAUAAGGGGAGGGCAAGUCGGGUGUCAGCCGCCGCGGUAAUACCCGCUCCCCGAGUGGUGGGGACGAUUAUUGGGCUUAAAGCGUCCGUAGCCCGCCUAAUAAGUCUCCCGUUAAAUCCAACGGCCUAACCGUUGGACUGCGGGGGAUACUGUUAGGCUAGGGGGCGGGAGAGGCCGGCGGUAUUCUCGGGGUAGGGGUGAAAUCCUAUAAUCCCGAGAGGACCACCAGUGGCGAAGGCGGCUGGCCAGAACGCGCCCGACGGUGAGGGACGAAAGCUGGGGGAGCGAUCCGGAUUAGAUACCCGGGUAGUCCCAGCCGUAAACGAUGCGGGCUAGGUGUUGGCGCAACCCAAGAGUUGCGCCAGUGCCGCAGGGAA
RNAcentral lists this ribosomal RNA (832 nucleotides) under uncultured crenarchaeote. Its description in RNAcentral is "bacterial SSU rRNA". It matches the Rfam family "Archaeal small subunit ribosomal RNA", at positions 1 to 810 of the family's 1478-position model. The record is from RNAcentral. Lineage: Archaea; Thermoproteati; Thermoproteota.